This 442-nucleotide ribosomal RNA is filed under the name uncultured bacterium. RNAcentral describes it as "partial 16S ribosomal RNA". It matches the Rfam family "Bacterial small subunit ribosomal RNA", at positions 338 to 794 of the family's 1533-position model. The record is from RNAcentral.
CCUACGGGAGGCAGCAGUGGGGAAUUUUGGACAAUGGGCGAAAGCCUGAUCCAGCGACGCCGCGUGGAGGACGAAGGUCUUCGGAUUGUAAACUCCUUUUGCAGGGGACGAAAAAAAUGACGGUACUCUGCGAAUAAGCCACGGCUAACUACGUGCCAGCAGCCGCGGUAAUACGUAGGUGGCGAGCGUUACUCGGAAUCACUAGGCGUAAAGCGCGUGUAGGCGGUAUUUUAAGUCUGUUGUGAAAUCUUAUGGCUCAACCAUAAAAUGUCGACAGAUACUGAAGUACUAGAGUGAGGCAGGGGAAACUGGAAUUCCCGGUGUAGGGGUAAAAUGCGUAGAUAUCGGGAGGAACACCAGUGGCGAAGGCGGCUCUCUGGGUAAUGACUGACGCUGAGGCGCGAAAGCGGGGGGAGCAAACAGGAUAAGAUACCCGGGUAGU